CCCUUAGAUGUUCUGGGCCGCACGCGUGCUACACUGAGUGGAUCAGCGGGUCAGGUUACGCGAGAGCGUUUCCUAAUCUUCAAAUCCGCUCGUGAUGGGGAUUGACGGUUGCAAUUUUCCGUCAUGAACGAGGAAUACCUUGUAAGCGCGAGUCAUCAUCCCGCGCUGAAUACGUCCCUGCCCUUUGUACACACCGCCCGUCGCUCCUACCGAUUGAGUGGUCCGGUGAGGCUUUGGGAUCUAAGCGAAAAGAGCGUUUCGCUCCUUUUGCUGGGAGAACUCAGUCGAACCUUAUCAUUUAGAGGAAGGAGAAGUCGUAACA
This 322-nucleotide ribosomal RNA is filed under the name uncultured eukaryote. Its description in RNAcentral is "partial 18S ribosomal RNA". It matches the Rfam family "Eukaryotic small subunit ribosomal RNA", at positions 1470 to 1796 of the family's 1831-position model. The record is from RNAcentral.